Molecule: non-coding RNA, 99 nt
Filed under: Macrococcoides caseolyticum
Lineage: Bacteria; Bacillati; Bacillota; Bacilli; Caryophanales; Staphylococcaceae
Also listed under: 1 other name
Description: Macrococcus caseolyticus SAM-I sequence
Rfam family: SAM riboswitch aptamer (S box leader)
About the family: The SAM riboswitch is found upstream of a number of genes which code for proteins involved in methionine or cysteine biosynthesis in Gram-positive bacteria. The SAM riboswitch acts at the level of transcription termination control. The predicted structure consists of a complex stem-loop region followed by a single stem loop terminator region.
Source: RNAcentral
AACUUAUACAGAGAGAUGGAGGGAAUUGGCCCUGUGAAAUCUCAGCAACCGGCGUUUGCACGGUGCUAAAUCCAACAGGUGAUUCCUGAAAUAUGAGUG